UUGAACGCUGGCGGCAUGCCUUACACAUGCAAGUCGAACGGCAGCACGGGAGCAAUCCUGGUGGCGAGUGGCGAACGGGUGCGUAAUACAUCGGAACGUGCCCAGUAGUGGGGGAUAACCCGGCGAAAGCCGGACUAAUACCGUAUACGACCUACGGGUGAAAGCGGGGGAUCGCAAGACCUCGCGCUAUCGGAGCGGCCGAUGUCAGAUUAGCUAGUUGGUGGGGUAAAGGCCUACCAAGGCGACGAUCUGUAGCUGGUCUGAGAGGACGACCAGCCACACUGGGACUGAGACACGGCCCAGACUCCUACGGGAGGCAGCAGUGGGGAAUUUUGGACAAUGGGCGCAAGCCUGAUCCAGCCAUGCCGCGUGCGGGAAGAAGGCCUUCGGGUUGUAAACCGCUUUUGUCAGGGAAGAAACGCUCCGGGCUAAUACCACGGAGUAAUGACGGUACCUGAAGAAUAAGCACCGGCUAACUACGUG
Molecule: ribosomal RNA, 483 nt
Filed under: uncultured bacterium
Lineage: Bacteria
Description: partial 16S ribosomal RNA
Rfam family: Bacterial small subunit ribosomal RNA
Source: RNAcentral